Molecule: ribosomal RNA, 883 nt
Filed under: uncultured bacterium
Lineage: Bacteria
Description: bacterial SSU rRNA
Rfam family: Bacterial small subunit ribosomal RNA
Source: RNAcentral
AUGCAGUCGAACGAGCGAGAGAAAGCUUGCUUUUUCGAGCGAGUGGCGAACGGGUGAGUAACGCGUGAGGAACCUGCCUCAAAGAGGGGGACAACAGUUGGAAACGACUGCUAAUACCGCAUAAGCCCACAGGUCGGCAUCGACCAGAGGGAAAAGGAGCAAUCCGCUUUGAGAUGGCCUCGCGUCCGAUUAGCUAGUUGGUGAGGUAAUGGCCCACCAAGGCGACGAUCGGUAGCCGGACUGAGAGGUUGAACGGCCACAUUGGGACUGAGACACGGCCCAGACUCCUACGGGAGGCAGCAGUGGGGAAUAUUGCACAAUGGGGGAAACCCUGAUGCAGCGACGCCGCGUGGAGGAAGAAGGUCUUCGGAUUGUAAACUCCUGUUGUUGGGGAAGAUAAUGACGGUACCCAACAAGGAAGUGACGGCUAACUACGUGCCAGCAGCCGCGGUAAAACGUAGGUCACAAGCGUUGUCCGGAAUUACUGGGUGUAAAGGGAGCGCAGGCGGGAAGACAAGUUGGAAGUGAAAUCUAUGGGCUCAACCCAUAAACUGCUUUCAAAACUGUUUUUCUUGAGUAGUGCAGAGGUAGGCGGAAUUCCCGGUGUAGCGGUGGAAUGCGUAGAUAUCGGGAGGAACACCAGUGGCGAAGGCGGCCUACUGGGCACCAACUGACGCUGAGGCUCGAAAGUGUGGGUAGCAAACAGGAUUAGAUACCCUGGUAGUCCACACCGUAAACGAUGAUUACUAGGUGUUGGAGGAUUGACCCCUUCAGUGCCGCAGUUAACACAAUAAGUAAUCCACCUGGGGAGUACGACCGCAAGGUUGAAACUCAAAGGAAUUGACGGGGGCCCGCACAAGCAGUGGAGUAUGUGGUUUAAUUC